This 253-nucleotide ribosomal RNA is filed under the name uncultured bacterium. RNAcentral describes it as "partial 16S ribosomal RNA". It matches the Rfam family "Bacterial small subunit ribosomal RNA", at positions 524 to 776 of the family's 1533-position model. The record is from RNAcentral.
UACGGAGGGGGCUAGCGUUAUUCGGAAUUACUGGGCGUAAAGCGCACGUAGGCGGAUCAGAAAGUCAGGGGUGAAAUCCCAGGGCUCAACCUUGGAACUGCCUUUGAAACUCCUGGUCUUGAGGUCGAGAGAGGUGAGUGGAAUUCCGAGUGUAGAGGUGAAAUUCGUAGAUAUUCGGAGGAACACCAGUGGCGAAGGCGGCUCACUGGCUCGAUACUGACGCUGAGGUGCGAAAGCGUGGGGAGCAAACAGG